This 382-nucleotide unclassified non-coding RNA is filed under the name soil metagenome. RNAcentral describes it as "partial contains 5.8S ribosomal RNA, internal transcribed spacer 2, and large subunit ribosomal RNA". The stretch from base 1 to 120 matches the Rfam family "5.8S ribosomal RNA", at positions 35 to 154 of the family's 154-position model. The record is from RNAcentral.
GAUGAAGAACGCAGCGAAAUGCGAUAAGUAAUGUGAAUUGCAGAAUUCAGUGAAUCAUCGAAUCCUUGAACGCACCUUGCACCCUUUGGCAUUCCGAAGGGUAUGCUCGUUUGAGUGUCAUUGUACUCUCACACUUCUGAUCCUUUGGAUUGGGAGCGGUGGACUUGGGUGUUGCUGCUUUACUGUGGCUCACCUCAAAUGCAUUCGUGCAACUCUUGGUUGGACAUAGUACGGCGUGAUAAGUAUCUUCGCCGGCACCUCGCAAGAGGGUGGCUGAUCAGGAGCUCUGUGCUUUCCAACUGUCUUCAGACAACAACUGACAACUUGACCUCAAAUCGAGUAGGACCACCCGCUGAACUUAAGCAUAUCAAUAAGCGGAGGA